AGUUGGGGAGAGUAAAGAAAGAAGAGUUGAUUAGAAACUUGGAAAAGUGAGUUUUUAUGAAAGGGUGAAAAUACGAAAAGAAACAAGAAAAAGAAAUCACCCUUGAAACCAUAGAGCAAAGAAAAAAGUAAAGAAAGAAAAAAAUCAAAGAAAAUGCUCAUGGUUGUGUGGAUGUAAAAAGAAAAAGAAAAAAAAUAGGGAUCAAAGAAAGGGAAGUUGUGUAGAGUUGAAUGUUUGGGAAUGCUCCCUUAGGAUAG
RNAcentral lists this long non-coding RNA (257 nucleotides) under Lathyrus oleraceus (garden pea). RNAcentral describes it as "Pisum sativum (pea) long non-coding RNA (PSAT_LNC018215)". Lineage: Eukaryota; Viridiplantae; Streptophyta; Magnoliopsida; Fabales; Fabaceae. The record is from RNAcentral.